RNAcentral lists this ribosomal RNA (877 nucleotides) under uncultured archaeon. Its description in RNAcentral is "bacterial SSU rRNA". It matches the Rfam family "Archaeal small subunit ribosomal RNA", at positions 1 to 889 of the family's 1478-position model. The record is from RNAcentral.
UUUCCGGUUGAUCCUGCCGGAGGCCACUGCUAUCGGGGUCCGAUUAAGCCAUGCGAGUUGAGAGGGGUAAGCCCUCGGCAUACUGCUCAGUAACACGCGGACAACCUGCCCUUGGGUCUGGGAUAACCCCGGGAAACUGGGACUAAUACCGGAUAGAUCAGAGAUACUGGAAUGUUCUCUGGUCCAAAACUCCGGUGCCCAAGGAUGGGUCUGCGGCCGAUUAGGUUGUUGUUGGGGUAACGGCCCAACAAGCCAUUGAUCGGUACGGGUUGUGGGAGCAAGAGCCCGGAGAUGGAUUCUGAGACACGAAUCCAGGCCCUACGGGGCGCAGCAGGCGCGAAAACUUUACAAUGCGAGAAAUCGUGAUAAGGGAACCCCGAGUGCCCGUAAAUUCGGGCUGUCCAUCAGUGUAAAAAACUGGUGAAGAAAGGGCCGGGCAAGACCGGUGCCAGCCGCCGCGGUAAUACCGGCGGCUCGAGUGGUGGCCGCUAUUAUUGGGCUUAAAGCGUCCGUAGCUGGGUUGUUAAGUCUCCUGGGAAAUCCACCGGCUCAACCGGUGGGCGUUCGGGAGAAACUGGCAACCUAGGGACCGGGAGAGGUGAGAGGUACUCCAGGGGUAGGAGUGAAAUCCUGUAAUCCUUGGGGGACCACCUGUGGCGAAGGCGUCUCACUAGAACGGCUCCGACAGUGAGGGACGAAAGCUGGGGGAGCAAACGGGAUUAGAUACCCCGGUAGUCCAGGGUGUAAACGCUGCUCGCUUGAUGUUAGUCGGGCUCCGAGCCCAACUAGUGUCGGAGAGAAGUUGUUAAGCGAGCUGCCUGGGGAGUACGGUCGCAAGACUGAAACUUAAAGGAAUUGGCGGGAAGGGCGAAUUCGU